GGUUUAGGGUUUAGGGUUUAGGGU
RNAcentral lists this microRNA (24 nucleotides) under Ananas comosus (pineapple). Its description in RNAcentral is "microRNA s1433_c075b". The record is from RNAcentral. Lineage: Eukaryota; Viridiplantae; Streptophyta; Magnoliopsida; Poales; Bromeliaceae.